Non-coding RNA from Pelobates cultripes (western spadefoot toad), 553 nucleotides. The record is from the annotation of a GenBank genome assembly. NCBI's taxonomy places the organism in Eukaryota, Metazoa, Chordata, Amphibia, Anura, Pelobatidae.
ACAAUAAUAAAAUAACAAAAUGGUUAUCCAAUAAGCUGAGAAGGAAAGCUGGGAAAAAUAGAAUAACAGGUAUUAAAAAAGAUCAGAUAGGAGGCGGAGCUAGCAGCGGUGCAGAGCAGUCGCACACAGUAAGAGCUCCUCGCCACAAACCGCAAAAGAAACGUCUUACGGGACGAAAACUGACAACCACCUGGGUCUAACCGCCGACACCAAACACGGGGACCAAACAUGGGUCGGAAACACAAGAAAACCAGAGCCGAAAAGGACCCAACCACCCAUGACAUCAGGGAACUUCUAUAACGCUUGCAAAAGUCUGCAUGGGACAAUAUGGCGGCUGGAGACAACGCCUACUUCUUUUUAUCAGAUGAUUUCUCCAUAGACCCCGGUGAAGGUAUGGCAAAAGCACCACCACCCAACCCAAAGCCCUCACAUACCCUGACAGAAGAACCUGCCACAGCCUCUGUGCUGAAGAGCAUGCUAGUAGAACUUAGAACUAACAUAGCAGCCGACAUGACAGGCAUAAAAGAGGAGGUGGAGGGGGUCACCACCAGGG